UACAGAGACUGCAAGCGUUAUUCGGAUUCACUGGGCGUAAAGGGUGCGCAGGCGGUCGUGUGUGUCAGGUGUGAAAUCCCGGAGCUUAACUCCGGAACUGCGCCUGAAACUACAUGACUAGAGCAUUGGAGAGGGAAGUGGAAUUCAUGGUGUAGCAGUGAAAUGCGUAGAUAUCAUGAGGAACACCAGAGGCGAAGGCGACUUCCUGGACAAUUGCUGGCGCUCAGGCACGAAAGCAUGGGGAGCAAAAGGG
This 253-nucleotide ribosomal RNA is filed under the name uncultured bacterium. RNAcentral's name for it is "partial 16S ribosomal RNA". It matches the Rfam family "Bacterial small subunit ribosomal RNA", at positions 524 to 776 of the family's 1533-position model. The record is from RNAcentral.